UCAGUUUCUCUGUACAUUUACAUUUAGGUACAUCAGAACUGGGCUUCUAUAUAUAAAACAGCCUGGAACAUUGGCAGUCAGGUCCUAGAGAGAGCAACAUCCACUGUGCAGCUGAAGGACGGGGAGAAAGGUGAAUUAAGGAGGUUUUGGAGAUUGCUAACUAGUCAUUGAAUAUUCCAUCUCAUAUAGUUCCCAGGAACAAACUUGACAGAAAUGGGGAAGUUACCACAGUUCGGACUAUGUGUGAUUUAUGCCUGGAAUGGAACGGAUUGCGAAGAAUCAUCAGGGAACCUGAAAGAUCAGGGCUUCUAACCAGGGAGCCUGACAGUUGUCUUUCCCAAAGCUGUAAGAAGUGACAUGUUACUCCUUGAAGAACUCAUGGGGCAGAGCACAGGGACUGUCUUGUGAAUCAUCUAGCUGACCAAGGGGCUUAUGGUGAUCAGA
Long non-coding RNA from Dromaius novaehollandiae (emu), 444 nucleotides. RefSeq lists it as uncharacterized. The transcript is spliced from 4 exons. NCBI's taxonomy places the organism in Eukaryota, Metazoa, Chordata, Aves, Casuariiformes, Dromaiidae. The record is from RefSeq and is a predicted model, not a curated record.